CAGAUACACAGACACAUAGGUACACACAUGCAGAUACACAGGCACACAGAUACAAACACUGACACACAUACAGAUACACAGGCACAUAGAUACACACUCAGAUACACAGACACACAUACAGAUUCAAACACUGAUUCACAUACAGAUACCCAGACGACACACAGAUACAUAUGGAUACACAGACGCACAAAUCACACACUGACACAUAUACAGAUACACACACAUACAGAUACACAAAUACAAACAUGCAGAUACACAGACACACUUUAUAUAGUGUUGGUAUAUAGUGUUGACAUUUGAAUGCUAAUGUGUAUUUGUGUGUAGAGAUGGCUUUUGAAUGCAGG
Non-coding RNA from Pelobates cultripes (western spadefoot toad), 344 nucleotides. The record is from the annotation of a GenBank genome assembly. NCBI's taxonomy places the organism in Eukaryota, Metazoa, Chordata, Amphibia, Anura, Pelobatidae.